Molecule: non-coding RNA, 120 nt
Organism: Paramuricea clavata
Lineage: Eukaryota; Metazoa; Cnidaria; Anthozoa; Malacalcyonacea; Plexauridae
Source: the annotation of a GenBank genome assembly
UUAAAUUCUUUGAAUAGCGAGGGAUUCUUGAUAGAGCAAAAGGGACCAAUUGCAAUGGUUAGGUAAUAAUGAUAAAUCUAACCAUUGGUCCCUUUUGCUGUAUCAAGAAUCCCUCGCUAU